UCCAGCGCUCCUCACCUACACAUCAAACACAACAUGGCACCUGCUGGCAGUGUUGUUGUGGUAGCUCUCUCACUUCUGUACUUAUCCCGUGCUAUAUUUUCCACGGAAUACCUCUCUACACUCACUUUCUUCAAUAGCGAACUGCACAAACAUGGUUGCAGCUCUCCGUCAGAGUGGGAGGAAUACACAACGGAUUGCGAGUCCUUUAUUCUACAGUUGGAGGACCCAGACUGUGAGGAAGGAAGCAACCCACCAUGCGAGUCUGUCUUCUCUCUCAACGCAGAGAAAAUCCUGAGACAAGCCAAGUUGUUUAUAGAGCAGAAGCGAUUCCCUUUUGCAGUGGACAACCACAACACAAAUGAGGAGCUUGCUAUAGGAUAUGUUCUUAUUGGCAAUGGCCUGUACGAUGAAGCCAUCAAACACUUCUCCUUGUUACUACAGGGGGAUCCAGAGGUAGUCAGUGCCAUCUAUGGGAGAGGGAUAGCAUACGGGAAAAAGAGUCUGCAGGACAUCAAGAAUGCAGACUUGGCGCUGUUCGAGUUGAGCCGAGUCAUCACUCUGGAGCCCAACCGCCCUGAGGUAUACGAACAGCGGGCAGAGAUCCUUUCUCCGCUUGGGAGGAUCAGUGAGGCUCUGAGUGAUCUCUCCAAAGCCAUCCAGCUCCAGCCCUCCGCCCGCCUCUACAGACACAGAGGAACUCUGCUCUUUAUCGCCGAGGAUUAUGUGGCAGCUAUGGAUGAUUUUCAACAGUCUUUGGAUCUGAAGAAAAAUCAGCCCAUUGCCAUGCUAUACAAAGGUCUAACAUUCUUCCACAGAGGAAUGCUAAAGGAAGCCAUCGAAACAUUCAAGGAGGCCCUGAAAUUAAAAUCUGACUUCAUAGAUGCGUACAAAAGUCUCGGACAGGCCUACAGGGAGCUUGGAGACUUUGAGGCAGCUAUGGAGAGCUUCCAGAAAGCCCUGAUGCUCAACCAGAACCACAUCCAGUCUCUGCAGUUGAGAGGCAUGAUGCUGUACCACCAUGGCAGUCUCCAGGAGGCAGUCGGCAACUUCAAGAGGUGUCUACAGUUGGAGCCCUACAAUGAGGUAUGUCAGUACAUGAAGGGUUUGAGCCACGUGUCCAUGGGUCAGUUCUAUGAAGGCAUCAAGGCUCAGACUAAAGUCAUGUUGAAUGACCCUCUGCUGGGCCAGAAGGCAAGCUCGGAAUAUCUCAAAGUGAAAUACCUCCGAGAAUACUCUCGCUACUUGCACUCACAUCUCGACAAACCUGUGGCAGAAUACAAUGUUGAUCAGGAUCUUCCAGGGAACUUCAAAAACCACUGGGCAAAACACCUUCCUUUCCUUAUAGAGGACUAUGAGGAGCAGCCAGGACUGCAGCCUCAUAUUAAGGAUGUUCUACCUCAGAACUUUGAAAGCUACAACAUUGAAGUUCAGAAGCUCAUUUGCGCUGCUGAUCACCUUGGUGCCCUUAUGCAAUACGACACACCAGGAUUUCUUCCCAAUCGCAGAAUACACAGAGCCAUGGGCCUAGCGACCCUGGAGGUCAUGCAGGCUAUGCAGCGCACCUGGAGCAAUUCAAAGGUGCGAGUCAACGGCAAAACCAGGCAGAUGCAGUGGAGAGACAUGUUCGAUAUUGCCGUCAAAUGGAGGAGGAUCGCUGAUCCAGACCAGCCUGUUCUGUGGCUGGACCAGAUGCCUGCCAGAAGUCUCAGCCGAGGGUUCAAUAACCACAUUAACCUCAUCAGAGGACAAAUCAUCAACAUAAGAUACUUGGCCUACUUUGACAACAUACUCAAUUUCAUUAAAGACAGAAUAUUGGUUUACCACAGGGCAUACAACCCAAGAGGCCUACUGGAAGUCAGACAAGCACUGGAAAAUGUCAACACGGUGGAAGACCUUCUCCCCAUAAUGAAGUUUAACAGUAAAACGAGAGAUGGCUUCACAGUUAACUCCAAGGUGCCCAGUCUAAAAGACCCUGGCAAAGAAUAUGACGGCUUCACAAUCACCAUAACAGGAGACAGCACCACGGCGGUUGUAUGGACCAUGUUACAGACCACAGUGUUUGUUCAGACGGUGUGUAUUUGUGUGGCCUUAGAGUGGGCAACAUGCUGUUCUCAGUGGAGACCCAGACCACAGAGGAACGCACUCAGCAGUACCAGUCUGAGAUUGAGUCCAUCUAUAAAGACCUGACUGCCAAGGGCAAGGCUCUCAUGCUGUCCACUGAACUUGGGGAUGCAGAUGCAGUGUGUAAUUUAAUUCUCUCCCUGGUUUACUACUUCUGUAAUCUCAUGCCCCUCUCCAGAGGUUCUAGUGUUGUGGCAUACUCUGUUGUCAUGGGAGCACUGAUGGCCAGUGGAAAGGAGGUGAUAGGCAGAAUCCCCAAAGGGAAGUUGGUUGAUUUUGAAGCCAUGACAACACACAGUCCUGACAGCUUUAGUAAAACAGCAAAAAACUGGAUGAAUUUAAAGAGCCUACCAGUGUGGUACCAGAGUCUUCCGUCAGUAGCAGGAACCUUCCCAACGACUAGAACCAUGAUUGAGGUCCUCAACACGGACUCCACAUCGCACUGUCCAAAGAAGUCCUAACACCACUUCUUCUGAUGAGAACAAGGGCCUGUCUGUCUGCUCAUAGUCUCUGGCCAAGCUCAACCCCCAAAGCACAAUGUCUGUCUAAAAAUAAUUCAGAGCAACUACAUGUUGUUCAGGUAUGGCCCUAUGUAUGCAAUACCAGCAAAACCCUAGUGUCUAGUAUGUAAAAGCUAUGAAAUGUAACUAAUUACAUUCAUUUGAAUGAUAGGUAAUCUCUCGAUUGUGAUUGCCACAAUUCUGUUUUUAACAACCCUCACAGCUAUUCAGUCUAAGCAGAGAAAGUGUGGGAUGAGAUUCUAAGAUGUAAACUUAACUUCAGGGCUAUGCAGUUCCACUUGGGAUACUUGAACAUUUAGAAAAGUGAAGCAAUCCUUUUAUUUAGUCUUGUUGAUAUUGGACAGUGUUGCUCUGUGCCAUUGCCAUUUUCUGGAAUUGUUUUUAUCUUGACCCAAAAAGGGCACGAGGAAGGGUUGGUUUCAGGUUGUGUCCAACUUGUUUUGGGAAAAGAACACAUUGUGCCAUGAUAUCGUUCCUCUGGGUUUAUUUUGAGACCUCUGUGAUUUUCAUUGUUGCUUUUCUUUUUUUUGGUAAAUGUUUGAAUAAUUUGACCAUGGUCUUAUAGACACAACAUUAGAACAAACGUUCAGGGAUUUAUUUUGGGGAUUUUGUUCAAUUGCUCUGAAGAACCUCAUUUCAGGACAAGCUUUGGUUUUCAGUUUAUGUUCCCCACUUACCAUUUUACUGUUAAUGACAGGAUAGAAUAUGCAUUGCCUGCAUGGGUCCUUAUUGAAUGAGCUCCAGAGGAUCACUACAACAACAGGGACCACUGCUUAAUUGUCUUUUUUUGGCAGAACUACUGUUUAAUAAUGUUUCCAUAUCAAUGAUUGUGCUGAAUUGCUGGGAUUUUUUUAUUUUAUUUUAGCACUGGGUGAAUUAGCUAUGUUUAUUAAAGCUCAAAUGUGGAUUUUUAAGUGAGCAAUAUGUCCCAUCUUGAAGUUUUAAACUUGAAGGAAUGACAUCUGGAGAUUUUGGGGAAUUGGUAUGUUCAAUACAAUUGGUUGACAAAUGA
Oncorhynchus mykiss (rainbow trout) is the source of this 3654-nucleotide RNA transcript. It is a transcript of the gene named tetratricopeptide repeat protein 13, with no coding region annotated. The record is from RefSeq and is a predicted model, not a curated record. NCBI's taxonomy places the organism in Eukaryota, Metazoa, Chordata, Actinopteri, Salmoniformes, Salmonidae.